This 486-nucleotide ribosomal RNA is filed under the name uncultured bacterium. RNAcentral's name for it is "partial 16S ribosomal RNA". It matches the Rfam family "Bacterial small subunit ribosomal RNA", at positions 30 to 507 of the family's 1533-position model. The record is from RNAcentral.
AUUGAACGCUGGCGGCAUGCCUUACACAUGCAAGUCGAACGGCAGCACGGGUGCUUGCACCUGGUGGCGAGUGGCGAACGGGUGAGUAAUACAUCGGAACAUGUCCUUUAUUGGGGGAUAGCCCGGCGAAAGCCGGAUUAAUACCGCAUACGAUCUACGGAUGAAAGCGGGGGACCUUCGGGCCUCGCGCUAUAGGGUUGGCCGAUGGCUGAUUAGCUAGUUGGUGGGGUAAAGGCCUACCAAGGCGACGAUCAGUAGCUGGUCUGAGAGGACGACCAGCCACACUGGGACUGAGACACGGCCCAGACUCCUACGGGAGGCAGCAGUGGGGAAUUUUGGACAAUGGGCGAAAGCCUGAUCCAGCAAUGCCGCGUGUGUGAAGAAGGCCUUCGGGUUGUAAAGCACUUUUGUCCGGAAAGAAAUCCUUGGCCCUAAUACGGUCGGGGGAUGACGGUACCGGAAGAAUAAGCACCGGCUAACUACGUG